RNAcentral lists this ribosomal RNA (301 nucleotides) under uncultured bacterium. RNAcentral's name for it is "partial 16S ribosomal RNA". It matches the Rfam family "Bacterial small subunit ribosomal RNA", at positions 509 to 807 of the family's 1533-position model. The record is from RNAcentral.
CAGUCGCCACGGGAAUACGUAGGGUGCAAGCGUUGUCCGGAAUUAUUGGGCGUAAAGAGCUCGUAGGCGGUUUGUCGCGUCUGCUGUGAAAACGCGAGGCUCAACCUCGCGCCUGCAGUGGGUACGGGCAGACUAGAGUGCGGUAGGGGAGAUUGGAAUUCCUGGUGUAGCGGUGGAAUGCGCAGAUAUCAGGAGGAACACCGAUGGCGAAGGCAGAUCUCUGGGCCGUAACUGACGCUGAGGAGCGAAAGCGUGGGGAGCGAACAGGAUUAGAUACCCCGGUAGUCCCUGUCUCUUAUAC